GGCUGUCUGUGAUGCUAUUCUAAAUCCUUACCUACCUUGUUUGAGUAGUUAUUAUGAAAAGAAUUAAUGUCUGAGACAUGC
Molecule: small nucleolar RNA, 81 nt
Organism: Cheilinus undulatus (humphead wrasse)
Lineage: Eukaryota; Metazoa; Chordata; Actinopteri; Labriformes; Labridae
Product: small nucleolar RNA SNORD34
Exons: 1
Source: RefSeq, a predicted model, not a curated record